This is a long non-coding RNA of Mytilus californianus (California mussel), 330 nucleotides long. RefSeq lists it as uncharacterized. The record is from RefSeq and is a predicted model, not a curated record. NCBI's taxonomy places the organism in Eukaryota, Metazoa, Mollusca, Bivalvia, Mytilida, Mytilidae. The transcript is spliced from 3 exons.
AUUACUGGACGUACCAUUGUUUGCACAAAUCUACAAACUACUUUAAACGAUGAGUAUUAUGAACCUGAAACAAAGACCAUUUUCUCAACUUGGGCAGAGGAGAAUUUAAAACAAGCUGAAUGCAUAUUGGAGAACUUCAGAAGGCAAGGAAUGGUCAUACUUAUGGGUGACCUUGCAUGUGGACCGGAAAUUCCGUCUAACGGCAUUAGAAAAGAACAUUUACCUUCAUACAACGCCUUAACAACUCAAUUCGUUUCACCAUAUGCUAGGACGAUUGGUCUUCAAACAAGUAGGGGUGCAAAAAUUAUCACUACACACGUGAUGAUGAAA